GACGAACGCUGGCGGCGUGCCUAAUACAUGCAAGUUGAGCGCUGAAGGUUGGUACUUGUACCAACUGGAUGAGCAGCGAACGGGUGAGUAACGCGUGGGGAAUCUGCCUUUGAGCGGGGGACAACAUUUGGAAACGAAUGCUAAUACCGCAUAAAAACUUUAAACACAAGUUUUAAGUUUGAAAGAUGCAAUUGCAUCACUCAAAGAUGAUCCCGCGUUGUAUUAGCUAGUUGGUGAGGUAAAGGCUCACCAAGGCGAUGAUACAUAGCCGACCUGAGAGGGUGAUCGGCCACAUUGGGACUGGGACACGGCCCAAACUCCUACGGGAGGCAGCAGUAGGGAAUCUUCGGCAAUGGACGAAAGUCUGACCGAGCAACGCCGCGUGAGUGAAGAAGGUUUUCGGAUCGUAAAACUCUGUUGGUAGGGAAGAACGUUGGUGAGAGUGGAAAGCUCAUCAAGUGACGGUAACUACCCAGAAAGGGACGGCUAACUACGUG
RNAcentral lists this ribosomal RNA (497 nucleotides) under uncultured bacterium. Its description in RNAcentral is "partial 16S ribosomal RNA". It matches the Rfam family "Bacterial small subunit ribosomal RNA", at positions 28 to 507 of the family's 1533-position model. The record is from RNAcentral.